GCCAGACUCCUACGGGAGGCAGCAGUGGGGAAUAUUGCACAAUGGGGGAAACCCUGAUGCAGCGCCGCCGCGUGGGCGAUGGAGUGCUUCGGCAUGUAAAGCCCUAUCAGCAGGGAAGAAAAUGACGGUACCUGACUAAGAAGCCCCGGCUAAAUACGUGCCAGCAGCCGCGGUAAUACGUAUGGGGCAAGCGUUAUCCGGAUUUACUGGGUGUAAAGGGAGCGUAGGCGGCCUGGCAAGCCUGAUGUGAAAUACCGGGGCCCAACCCCGGGGCUGCAUUGGGAACUACCGGGCUGGAGUGCCGGAGAGGUAGGCGGAAUUCCUAGUGUAGCGGUGAAAUGCGUAGAUAUUAGGAGGAACACCAGUGGCGAAGGCGGCCUACUGGACGGUGACUGACGCUGAGGCUCGAAAGCGUGGGGAGCAAACAGGAUUAGAUACCCCAGUA
Molecule: ribosomal RNA, 445 nt
Filed under: uncultured bacterium
Lineage: Bacteria
Description: bacterial SSU rRNA
Rfam family: Bacterial small subunit ribosomal RNA
Source: RNAcentral